AGGGGUAUAGCUCAGUGGUAGAAAGCAGUGCUUAGCAUGCACGAGGUCCUGGAUUCAAUCCCCAGUACCUCCA
This 73-nucleotide transfer RNA is filed under the name Camelus bactrianus (Bactrian camel). It matches the Rfam family "tRNA". From Rfam's summary of the family: Transfer RNA (tRNA) molecules are approximately 80 nucleotides in length. RNAcentral also lists the same sequence under 2 other names. The record is from Rfam by way of RNAcentral. Lineage: Eukaryota; Metazoa; Chordata; Mammalia; Artiodactyla; Camelidae.